Macrobrachium nipponense is the source of this 1357-nucleotide long non-coding RNA. RefSeq lists it as uncharacterized. The record is from RefSeq and is a predicted model, not a curated record. The transcript has 4 exons. NCBI's taxonomy places the organism in Eukaryota, Metazoa, Arthropoda, Malacostraca, Decapoda, Palaemonidae.
UGCAGUAACUUUGGUUGUGUGUUUUUACAUUUACUUCAGACUUCAGAGACAAGUAAAUGAGAAUAAGUGUCACCUGGAUUUGUACGUGUAAUUAGUGCCUCAGGAUUUACCAAGUGAAAUAUAGCAACCUCCUGGCUAACCUACGCCCAGCAGUGGUAAAGAUGGUUAGGCCCACAGUGCCUGUGUUUGAAAUGUAGGCUAAGCAACAUCAUCCUUCAAGAGAUCUUGGCUACAACUCUGCUAAAAAUAUGCAACACCUUAAGUCUAUAGUGUAUAUACCAUCCAGAAAGCUGGUUCAGUUCUUGAAGAUUGGUUAAUAGUUAGAUAACCAUUGGAAGGUGGGUGAAUGUGAAGGUACUGCCUCAUUACCUGCCUUGUCAAACCAAGAGCAAAUGAGAAUACAUGCAGGAAUAGUUAGAGGUAAUGGGGAAUAAGAAUGAGCCUUCAUACUCUGCCUUGACCUUCAUGCUUUGCCUUCACCUCCUGAAGAUUUAGGAAGAUGACCCCUGAAGCAAGAGCGGAGGUGUGUGAUUAUGGAGUUCCAAAAAGAAAGUGGUUCCUCCACCUUCCAAAACUCCAAACUAUAGUUUUCCUAGGGGUCAACAACCACUGUAGACCAAUCCAAGAUGGAUUGUUUAAAAUGCUGCUGGAGGAGAAAAGACAGGAAGCUAUUGCAGGAUAAGAUUCCUCCUCAAAAGAAGGAAAGCACAAAGGUAGUUCAGCACCUAAAGAGGAUAAGAAGUCCAAUAUCAUCAACCCCAUCCUUCAAGUGUGAAGGAACAUGUCAAAAAGCAGCAAAAUGGAAGGUAGAGAAUUUGCGUCAUCAUUUCAGUCUGGUUCAUUUAAAUCCUUCUUCAUUGAUAAUAUGUUCUGUUAGUAAACAGCAAGAGAAUUUUUUUAGCUUCAAUGGCUACAGAAGCUUCAGUGGCCUUGAUUGGGGAAGUUCUUGCGAGAUCAAUGUUAACAUAAAUCACAGAUAAAGAACAAUUAUAAGGAUAUUACAAUACUCAGAUUCUGAGAAUGUUGAUUCAAGUAAUGUCCACAGAUUUUCUUAUGAGAUUUGUAGGUAAGUCAUAUGAUAGGUUUGUUUAAUUACUCUUCAAUUUACCAUAAAACUAUAAUUAUCUGACCGUAUUUUUGAUGCUGUUCAAGAAAAUAAUUAGAAUUCAGAUAUAACUGUUCCCAGUAGUUAUCCAUGGUCUUCUCCAGUUGUGCAUGGCAGGAAACCACAUGGGAACUGUAAACACUAUAAUCUAUAUGUAAAAUGUAUUUGUCAUUGUAUAAUGUAUCCUCACCUCCUAUGUAUAUGUAUAUAACACUGUAUAUUGAUAAGCAGCAAUUGUAUCCAAUGCCUAUU